AGAGUUUGAUCAUGGCUCAGGGUGAACGCUGGCGGCGUGGAUAAGGCAUGCAAGUCGAAUGCAUUUAGUUGCAUGGCAGACGAGGUAGUAACGCGUAGAUACGUGCCCCAAAGUCAGGCAUAACCUGUCGAAAGACAGAAUAAUUCCUGAUAGUCCUUACGAGGUAAAGAUUUAUCGCUUUGGGAGCGGUCUGCGUAGUAUCAGCUUGUUGGUAAGGUAAUGGCUUACCAAGGCUAUGACGCUUAGGGGAGGUGAGAGCCUGACCCCCACCGAUGGGACUGAGACACGGCCCAUACUCCUACGGGAGGCCGCAGUCGAGAAUCUUCCGCAAUGGGCGAAAGCCUGACGGAGCGACGCCGCGUGAUUGAUGAAGCCCUUCGGGGUGUAAAGAUCUUUUAUGGGGGAGGAAGUUUAUUGACGUUACCCCAUGAAUAAGAGGCUCCUAACUCUGUGCCAGCAGGAGCGGUCAUACAGAGGCCUCAAGCGUUACCCGGAAUCACUGGGCGUAAAGGGUGUGUAGGUGGUCAUAUUAGUCUUGUGUUAAAGACCGGAGCUCAACUCCGGGAGUGCGCAGGAAACGGUAUGACUAGAGGGCGGCAGAGGUGCAUAGAACUCAUGGUGUAGGGGUGAAAUCCGUUGAUAUCAUGGGGAAUACCAAAAGCGAAGCAAUGCACUGGGCCGUUCCUGACACUGAGACACGAAAGCGUGGGUAGCGAAUGGGAUUAGAUACCCUAGUAGUCC
Molecule: ribosomal RNA, 741 nt
Filed under: uncultured bacterium
Lineage: Bacteria
Description: bacterial SSU rRNA
Rfam family: Bacterial small subunit ribosomal RNA
Source: RNAcentral